This 447-nucleotide ribosomal RNA is filed under the name uncultured bacterium. RNAcentral describes it as "partial 16S ribosomal RNA". It matches the Rfam family "Bacterial small subunit ribosomal RNA", at positions 330 to 793 of the family's 1533-position model. The record is from RNAcentral.
GCCAGACUCCUACGGGAGGCAGCAGUGGGGGAUAUUGCACAAUGGGGGGAACCCUGAUGCAGCGACGCCGCGUGGGUGAAGGAGCGUUUCGGCGCGUAAAGCCCUAUCGGCAGGGAAGAAGGAGGACGGUACCUGACUAAGAAGCCCCGGCUAACUACGUGCCAGCAGCCGCGGUAAUACGUAGGGGGCAAGCGUUAUCCGGAUUUACUGGGUGUAAAGGGGGCGCAGACGGCGAUGCAAGCCAGGAGUGAAAGCCCGGGGCCCAACCCCGGGACUGCUCUUGGAACUGCGUGGCUGGAGUGCAGGAGGGGCAGGCGGAAUUCCUGGUGUAGCGGUGAAAUGCGUAGAUAUCAGGAGGAACACCGGUGGCGAAGGCGGCCUGCUGGACUGCAACUGACGUUGAGGCCCGAAAGCGUGGGGAGCAAACAGGAUUAGAUACCCCUGUAU